CGAAGAACCUUACCUGGGCUUGACAUGUACCUGACCGCCCUGGAAACAGGGUUUCUCUUCGGAGCAGGUUCACAGGUGGUGCAUGGCUGUCGUCAGCUCGUGUCGUGAGAUGUUGGGUUAAGUCCCGCAACGAGCGCAACCCCCGUCGCAUGUUGCCAGCAUUUAGUUGGGGACUCAUGCGAGACUGCCGGUGACAAACCGGAGGAAGGUGGGGAUGACGUCAAGUCAUCAUGCCCCUUAUGUCCAGGGCUACACACGUGCUACAUUGGCGCGUACAGAGGGCUGCGAUACCGCGAGGUGGAGCGAAUCCCUCAAAGCGCGUCUCGGUUCGGAUUGCAGGCUGAAACCCGCCUGCAUGAAGGUGGAGUUGCUAGUAAUCGCGGAUCAGCAUUGCCGCGGUGAAUACGUUCCCGGGUCUUGUACACACCGA
Molecule: ribosomal RNA, 430 nt
Filed under: uncultured bacterium
Lineage: Bacteria
Description: bacterial SSU rRNA
Rfam family: Bacterial small subunit ribosomal RNA
Source: RNAcentral